RNAcentral lists this unclassified non-coding RNA (2943 nucleotides) under Leishmania donovani. RNAcentral's name for it is "gene:LdHU3.33.1940(CDS-product:WD_domain_G-beta_r epeat_putative)". Lineage: Eukaryota; Euglenozoa; Kinetoplastea; Trypanosomatida; Trypanosomatidae. The record is from RNAcentral.
GUGAGGAGACUGACGCUGCCACUGCCGCUGCGCUGCUCCCCCAGUUAGCUCCACCAACGCACACAUACACACAUACACAUACAUAGAGAGAUAGGGAGACCCACCCGUUUACGUAUGCAAAGCCAUACAUAUCGGUGUAUGCACACACACAGACACACGCACAAGCACGUCUAAUAUAUAGAAGGCGCUCAACACGAAGCAGCACGUGUUGAUGGACGCAGAGCGAGACGCUACGACUUCUCCCUUUAUCAGAGAAAAGAAAACGGUACGCUCUUCGUCUGUAAAGUCGCAUAGACAGGAAUACACACACACACACACACUGCGCGCGCACGUCUUCCUCUUUCGCUGUGCCUUGUGACAGCCCUGUAGCCCAGUAACUAUUUCUCACCGCUACCAUCAUGCCCGCUAUGGCACGUCUCAGGGCGGUCAGUCCCUCGGUCAAAGCACGCGAAGCCACCGCCGUCUAUUCCGAAACGAAAUGCUUCCACGCCAAGGGUGCCGUGGUCGCGAUGGCUACAAGCCACAACAGCACCAUGUGGCUCGCGAUGCAGGACGGGCGUGUAGAGGUGCGCGACGUGCACACUGGCCAAGUCGUGCAUACCUUCGCCGUCGCCGGUGUGCGUCAGCGGCGCAACAAGGUGUGGUGCAUGCUUUCCGUCUACGACGUAGUCCAUCAGGAGGCGCAGCUGUGGAUGGGGAUGAGUUCUGGCGCGAUUGAGGUUUACACAGAAGACUACCAGCUGCGCCGGCAGCUCAGCAAGCAUCUCUCCGGUGUGUACUGCCUCGCCCAGUACCGCGGCGACGUCGCCUACGCGGGCUCGAGCGACUUCACCAUCACGCAGUGGCGCGUCGCGGAUGGGCGACUGCUGCGCGUUCUGGCAGGACACAGCAACUACGUCCGUUGUCUCUACGCCGAAGGCAACGCCCUCGUGAGCGGAUCAGACGACAGCACCGUUCGCAUCUGGGAUACCGCCAGCGGCGCGUCCCUACAGCAGUACAGCCACCUACACCGCGAGAGCGGCGGCGUCUCGGCAUUCUGCCGUGUGGGGACGGCAAUGUGGUCAGGCGACCAAAGCGGCGUGAUUGCGGUGUGGCGGCUGAAGGAUGGCAAGGUGCUGCUCGUGUGCCGCCAGGUGCAGGGGCGAGUCAUGUCUCUCCGCAAGGUGGGGGCGCGGGUGUACGCCGGUAGCGCUGAAGGCUGUAUUUACGUCUUCAACGCAGGGGACUGCACGGUCGUGAAUCGCCUCGAUGAUCACGUGGGCAGCAGCAUCUCCGCCAUCGCCUGCGCCGUGGAGGUGAACCGCUACUUUGUGUGGUCGGGCAGCGCAGACAACACGAUACAGUGCUGGCACCACGAUGAGCACCAGCCUAUGACAGCAGAGCGCGAGGGAGCUUUGGACAUGCGGUGGUAUUACACAACGCAGCUGCCGUACCUGCAGGCAAACGAGGCGCUGCUGGAGCAGCAGCGAGAGCUGGCGGAGCUCAUGGUCCUCGCCAGCGGCUCCGACGACGCUGUGCGUAGUUUCUUGGACAGCCUAGGAGACGGCCGUGAGACGGCUGCCGCGCGGUACUGGCUCCUGGACGGUAAGGUAAAGCAGAUGCAGAAGCGGUACGACACAACGGAGGAGGCGACGCGCGCGAUCGACGCCGCGGUAGAGCGGAAGACACACACGUUGGAAGUCCUGCGCCGACAGCUAGCUCGCUUGACGGAAACCCUCAGCAGCGCCAAACAGCGGCCGCCGGUGCCUUCCUCUAGUGUCGCCGCCGUUUCAGCCGUGCCGGGAGGAGCAUCAGUCUCGGCCUCCCCAACUGCUACUGAGCCCCCCGCAGUGCUUGCCGGGGUGGCGCCACCCCUGGUCACCGUUUCGCCGCCACCAGAUCUGUCGGCGUUGUCCACAUCGUCACCUCUAGGCACCGCCGUGCCGUCUCGGCCCUCUACGUUUGUUUCUGCUCUCCCCUGUGCUCCUUCACCGCCCCCGCUGCAGACGGCGGUGGCUUCUGCCCCGCUGCCGCCGCCGCGGCCCAAGGUGCCCGCGCCUGAGCGCACCUCCUCCGCGCCGUGUAUUGUGACGGAGGCACAGGUGACCCUCAGUCGCAGCUACGAGCCGGUGCUCAGCUCCCUGCCGCCACCGCCGAAAGCGGCGGUCCCCCCGCCCCCCGUGGCAGCAGUGCCGCCCCCUCCACCUACCCGCGGCAUGGGAGCGCUUGGCGAGUUGCCCGCGGAAACCAGUGCACCACCUCUGACUCGCCGGAUGUCAUUUUAGCGUUUCAGCACGUGCCGCGAAGAGCGGCCGGCGCACACAAGGAGAGCGAAACGGGAGAGCCUCAGACGGAGGCGGGACGCAGCGGCAUACGUGUGAGUGGUGUGCGCAGGUGGACCGAUCCGACCAUUCUCUCUUCUCAUGUGCACCGUCCGCUUCGCUCUUAUACACCCUUAGAGGAAGAUAAAUGCUGUGCGUCUGCGAGGAGGCGGAGGCGGGCAGUGGACCUCGUGCGCCCCCCUCCCUCUCCCGUCUUCUCCCUCCCCCUUGCGUGCGUUUUGUAUUUUGUUAUCCCACUCAUCCCACCCCCUCGCCCUCCGCGUGUCGUGCACACAGGACUCUGUGUCUGUGUGUGUGUGUGUGUGUGUGUUUGCGUGGCGAUGAAUAGCCGCGGACGCGGCGUGACGCAACCAGAGUGUUCUGCAUAUGCAUAGGUGCUGCGCCGCUUUGGUGCACGGCUCGACUUCACACAUGGCCAUGGAUGGCACGCACAUGAAAAGGGCUCAUGUCGUGGUGAAAGCAUAUGUCCCUUUCCAGCACUUCUGCUUCUUCUCUUCUUUGCCUUAUCGAUCCUCUUUCCGUGUCUGAUGUACGCCGGCGUGUUGCUCUGUCUUCCUUGUGGACGGCGGGUCAAUGUAUGUGGGCAACAUGCGGUGGCAUACGUGAGUGCGUCCCCUGCCAG